AACGGCCGCGGUAUUUUGACCGUGCAAAGGUAGCAUAAUCAUUAGUCUUUUAAUAGAGGGCUGGAAUGAAAGGUUUAACGAAACAUUAGCUGUCUCAUACUUAUAAUUUAAAAUUUAAUUUUUAAGUUAAAAAGCUUAAAUUUUGUUGGAGGACGAGAAGACCCUAUAGAGUUUUAUAUUAGAAAUUUUAAUGAAGGGCUUGUUAAAUAUUUUAAAUUAAUUUUUUUAAUAUUUUGUUGGGGUGACAAAUAAAUAUGAAUAACUUUUUUAUUUUAUACACAUAAAUUUAUGAAUAUUUGAUCCAUUAUUAUUGAUUAUUAGAUUAAAUUACCUUAGGGAUAACAGCGUAAUCUUUUUUUGGAGUUCAAAUUUACAAAAAGGCUUGCGACCUCGAUGUUGGAUUAAGAUAAUAAUUUGGUGCAGUAGCUAAAUUAAUAGGUCUGUUCGAC
RNAcentral lists this ribosomal RNA (449 nucleotides) under Copera vittata. Its description in RNAcentral is "partial 16S ribosomal RNA". It matches the Rfam family "Bacterial large subunit ribosomal RNA", at positions 1926 to 2585 of the family's 2925-position model. The record is from RNAcentral. Lineage: Eukaryota; Metazoa; Arthropoda; Insecta; Odonata; Platycnemididae.